UCAUAGAUAAUUUUGUUAAUUCGUCGUAACUGAUUCUACUGCACUUUAUCAAAAUACAUCGAGUGCAAUACCUUUCCAUCGGGUCAACCGCAUUAUUCACUUAUGGUUCCUUCAAGCGUGCAGACCUGAUAUGACACGAAGUUUCAUGAUGCUUCGGCUUUGCAAUAGAUUGAAAUUGGAUGAAGUGUAAAACGACGACAACGAUGUCGUUGGCGGCGAGACGAUUGAAUUUUCGUCGGUCGGUCGGUCGGUUGGGCGGUAGCGACAAGCAGUCAACCGAAGCGCGGAGAGUUUGAGAGAGAAACCACCCGUCCCGAUCUGUUGACGGCUCUUGGCUCGCUCCGCCAAAGAGGAAACAACGUGCCCGCUGGUGGUUAACGCGGGCAUGGUUUUAAAACGGUGAGCACGAGUAAUCAAGCGCCGAUCACAAGUUGUAUCUUGUUGCUGCGGUUGUAAAGGUGAUGCAAAACUGUAUUGUAUCUAGCUCAUUUCGAUUGGAUAUGGCGAGUGAAUACCGCUUGAUUUUUUUUUUCACCCAUCGUCGCCUUUGGCAUCAUCAAGUACUUUCGUGGUGGUGACGGGCGGUGUAUGUGUAGUGUCAUGUUUUCUACCCAUUCUUCUUUAAUUAGUGAGGGUACGGGUUAUAAAUGCCAUUUGAAGCGCAAAAAAUUUGGUGCCUACGUGCUUUACGACAUUUGAGGCAAUGUUACGGCAGAAAAACGAACGAUUCAAUGAAACAUUUUUCCUGCCAAAAUGUAUGCACAAUUUUGCGAAAUAUUUAUCUAUCAACUAAUUUAUCGUGAUUUGUAAUUCCACGCAUUAAAUUUGUUUUUCUCGGAAA
Aedes aegypti (yellow fever mosquito) is the source of this 841-nucleotide long non-coding RNA. RefSeq lists it as uncharacterized. Lineage: Eukaryota; Metazoa; Arthropoda; Insecta; Diptera; Culicidae. The record is from RefSeq and is a predicted model, not a curated record. The transcript has 2 exons.